GGCAUAGGUUUUAUAUAGCGCUUUUAACCACUACUCAAAGACGUUUUACAGAGAGAUAAAUCCGAAUCAUAACUGCUUAUUAGUAAUCACAACUUUAGAAGAAAAACGUCUUUAAUAUUUUUAACAUGUAAGAGAUAGAGGUGGGAAUUGAUAAGUUUUCAUCAAUAUCAUUGGCAUUGUUGAUUCUGUCUAUUUAUCCAAUUCUUCAUCAAUUCUAGAGUAGUUAAAACAGGUGGCAAAAAAAGAAUAACAGUGCAAUAUAACUGUCAGUUUCUUUAUGAUAAAUUAUCAGUUGAACCUGUAUCAGUUGGAAAUGUCUUUCCAAAUGUUCUCUUUUAUUCUCCCUGUGAAGGCAGAGUCCUCUUGUUUGGUGCAGUGUUGCUGUAGCUUCUGCAGAGUGGGAGAAACCUGGCGGCACCAACUACUGGUAGAGGGAGUAUUUGUGAGAUAAAUGUGUGUGACGACUGACAGUGACAUGGCUGAAAAGUGACACCGGAUGGCAGCGAUCUGCAGGGACAGUCAGCCAACAAGGCGCUAAAGAAAAAAAAACAUGAUUCUGAGGAGGAAAUCUCUGCGUGGGCUCAGAAACAUCUCUGAAAAUCAUCAUCAGUCAAGACAGUUUGUCAGUUUUCACAAAGUCAAAUGAUAACUCAGCCAUAAAAACCAUAUAAAAUAAUGUAAACAAUUCUGAAACCUGAUCUGCAACCACGGCUCUGGGGCCACUUGUGGCUCUCAGAUACCUCUAAUGUGGCUCCUUGAUCAAAAUGGUGUUAACUUAGCUAAUGUUUAGCUAUUUUUAGCAGGAAUGGAUUGUUAA
Molecule: long non-coding RNA, 817 nt
Filed under: Nothobranchius furzeri (turquoise killifish)
Lineage: Eukaryota; Metazoa; Chordata; Actinopteri; Cyprinodontiformes; Nothobranchiidae
Description: lncRNA (ENSNFUG00015003864.1)
Source: RNAcentral